RNAcentral lists this ribosomal RNA (401 nucleotides) under Speocera manhao. RNAcentral describes it as "partial large subunit ribosomal RNA". The record is from RNAcentral. Lineage: Eukaryota; Metazoa; Arthropoda; Arachnida; Araneae; Ochyroceratidae.
CCUGCUCAAUGAUUAUAAAUAGCCGCUUAUGUGCUAAGGUAGCAUAAUAAAUUGCUCUUUAAUUCAGAUAUAGAAUGAACGGACCCACGAUUUAUCAAUUUUACCAACUUAACAAAAUAAAAUUUAAACUAUUAGUAAAAAUCCAAUUACACAAUAGCAGGACGACAAGACCCUAUCGAACUUCACUUUAAAGUUUUACUGGGAAGGUCAAAAACCACAUCUUUACUCCCCCUUUAAUAUACGCCCAAAUAGAAUUAAAUUAAGUUACCAUAGGGAUAACAGCAUAAUAAUUUCAUAAAGCCCUCAUCCAAUAAAUUGAUUAUGACCUCGAUGUUGAAUUAACUACCUUUUCACAGAAAAAAGCUUAAAAGAAAGUCUGUUCGACUUUUAAAUUGUUACAU